GAUGAACGCUGGCGGCGUGCCUAAUACAUGCAAGUAGAACGCUGAAGCUUGGUGCUUGCACCGAGCGGAUGAGUCGCGAACGGGUGAGUAACGCGUAGGUAACCUGCCUCUUAGCGGGGGAUAACUAUUGGAAACGAUAGCUAAUACCGCAUAAAAGACGAUAUCGCAUGAUAUUGAUUUGAAAGGUGCAAAUGCAUCACUAAGAGAUGGACCUGCGUUGUAUUAGCUAGUUGGUGAGGUAACGGCUCACCAAGGCAACGAUACAUAGCCGACCUGAGAGGGUGAUCGGCCACACUGGGACUGAGACACGGCCCAGACUCCUACGGGAGGCAGCAGUAGGGAAUCUUCGGCAAUGGGGGCAACCCUGACCGAGCAACGCCGCGUGAGUGAAGAAGGUUUUCGGAUCGUAAAGCUCUGUUGUAAGAGAAGAACGAGUGUGAGAGUGGAAAGUUCACACUGUGACGGUAACUUACCAGAAAGGGACGGCUAACUACGUGCCAGCAGCCGCGGUAAUACGUAGGUCCCGAGCGUUAUCCGGAUUUAUUGGGCGUAAAGCGAGCGCAGGCGGUUAGAUAAGUCUGAAGUUAAAGGCUGUGGCUUAACCAUAGUACGCUUUGGAAACUGUUUAACUUGAGUGCAGAAGGGGAGAGUGGAAUUCCAUGUGUAGCGGUGAAAUGCGUAGAUAUAUGGAGGAACACCGGUGGCGAAAGCGGCUCUCUGGUCUGUAACUGACGCUGAGGCUCGAAAGCGUGGGGAGCAAACAGG
RNAcentral lists this ribosomal RNA (765 nucleotides) under uncultured Streptococcus sp. Its description in RNAcentral is "bacterial SSU rRNA". It matches the Rfam family "Bacterial small subunit ribosomal RNA", at positions 28 to 776 of the family's 1533-position model. The record is from RNAcentral. Lineage: Bacteria; Bacillati; Bacillota; Bacilli; Lactobacillales; Streptococcaceae.